This is a long non-coding RNA of Carya illinoinensis, 526 nucleotides long. RefSeq lists it as uncharacterized. The record is from RefSeq and is a predicted model, not a curated record. The transcript is spliced from 3 exons. NCBI's taxonomy places the organism in Eukaryota, Viridiplantae, Streptophyta, Magnoliopsida, Fagales, Juglandaceae.
CAUUUCCGUGUACCUCUCUCUCUCUCUCUCUCUCUCUCUCUCUCUCUCUCUCUCAAUCCGAAGAAACCCUAGCCUCCCUCUCUCACUGCCGAUCGAAGACAAGAAUCAAGAUGGCCUCCCUUUCCUCCCUCAGUGCCGAUCGAAGAAAAGAAAAAGAUUUGCAGAGGGUCCCAAACUACUAGAUGCUGGUGGCUAUCGGGGAGAUCUAACAAAGGGGGAAAUCCUUCGAUUUCUGUUUGGGGAUGCACAAAUGUUGGGUGCGCUGUCUAGGUUUUCUUCAUCGGUGGCUAUAAGACCAACUCAUGGGGGAGGAAUACUAGGCAAAUCAAUUAAGGCCAAAAGACAGAUCACUCGAAAUUGCUACUUGCUGCUACUUGAAGUUGCUACUUGCUGCUACUUGAAGUUGCUACUUGUUGGAAUUAUUUUUUAAUUCAAAUCUUGUAGUUUUGUAUUUUGUAUUGUAAUAUAAUGUGUAAAUAACAAAAUAAUGUAAUAUGUAAUGGAUUGCAUACAUUUUAGUUUUUCA